GGGCCCGCACAAGCGGUGGAGUAUGUGGUUUAAUUCGAUGCAACGCGAAGAACCUUACCAGGGUUUGACAUCCUGCGAAUUUCUGGGAAACCGGAAAGUGCCUUCGGGAGCGCAGUGACAGGUGGUGCAUGGCUGUCGUCAGCUCGUGUCGUGAGAUGUUGGGUUAAGUCCCGCAACGAGCGCAACCCACGUCUUUAGUUGCCAGCAUUUAGUUGGGCACUCUAGAGAGACCGCCGGUGAUAAACCGGAGGAAGGUGUGGAUGACGUCAAGUCAUCAUGCCCCUUACAUCCUGGGCUACACACGUACUACAAUGCUACGGACAAAGGGCAGCAAACUCGCGAGAGCUAGCAAAUCCCAUAAACCGUGGCUCAGUUCAGAUCGUAGGCUGCAACUCGCCUACGUGAAGGAGGAAUCGCUAGUAA
Molecule: ribosomal RNA, 423 nt
Filed under: uncultured bacterium
Lineage: Bacteria
Description: bacterial SSU rRNA
Rfam family: Bacterial small subunit ribosomal RNA
Source: RNAcentral